AACCGCAUGGUUCAAUCAUAAAAGGUGGCUUUUAGCUACCACUUGCAGAUGGACCCGCGGCGCAUUAACUAGUUGGUGAGGUAACGGCUCACCAAGGCGACGAUGCGUAACCGACCUGAGAGGGUGAUCGGCCACACUGGGACUGAAACACGGCCCAGACUCCUACGGGAGGCAGCAGUAGGGAAUCUUCCGCAAUGGACGAAAGUCUGACGGAACAACGCCGCGUGAGUGAUGAAGGUUUUCGGAUCGUAAAACUCUGUUGUUAGGGAAGAACAAGUACCGUUCGAAUAGGGCGGUACCUUGACGGUACCUAACCAGAAAGCCACGGCUAACUACGUGCCAGCAGCCGCGGUAAUACGUAGGUGGCAAGCGUUGUCCGGAAUUAUUGGGCGUAAAGCGCGCGCAGGCGGUUUCUUAAGUCUGAUGUGAAAGCCCCCGGCUCAACCGGGGAGGGUCAUUGGAAACUGGGGAACUUGAGUGCAGAAGAGGAGAGUGGAAUUCCACGUGUAGCGGUGAAAUGCGUAGAGAUGUGGAGGAACACCAGUGGCGAAGGCGACUCUCUGGUCUGUAACUGACGCUGAGCGCGAAAGCGUGGGGAGCGAACAGGAUUAGAUACCCUGGUAGUCCACGCCGUAACGAUGAGUGCUAAGUGUUAGAGGGUUUCCGCCCUUUAGUGCUGCAGCAAACGCAUAGCACUCCG
RNAcentral lists this ribosomal RNA (700 nucleotides) under Bacillus licheniformis. RNAcentral describes it as "bacterial SSU rRNA". It matches the Rfam family "Bacterial small subunit ribosomal RNA", at positions 184 to 871 of the family's 1533-position model. Lineage: Bacteria; Bacillati; Bacillota; Bacilli; Caryophanales; Bacillaceae. The record is from RNAcentral.